This 305-nucleotide ribosomal RNA is filed under the name uncultured bacterium. Its description in RNAcentral is "bacterial SSU rRNA". It matches the Rfam family "Bacterial small subunit ribosomal RNA", at positions 338 to 657 of the family's 1533-position model. The record is from RNAcentral.
CCUACGGGAGGCAGCAGUGGGGAAUAUUGGGCAAUGGGCGCAAGCCUGACCCAGCAAUGCCGCGUGAAGGAAGAAGGCCCUCGGGUUGUAAACUUCUUUUAUCAGGGACGAAGGAUGUGACGGUACCUGAUGAAUAAGCUCCGGCUAACUACGUGCCAGCAGCCGCGGUAAUACGUGGGGAGCAAGCGUUAUCCGGAUUUACUGGGUGUAAAGGGCGCGUAGGCGGGAUGGCAAGUCAAGGGUGAAAUCCCCGCGCUCAACGUGGGAACUGCCUUUGAAACUGGCAAACUGGAGUGUGUGAGAGG